UAAAAAGCUCGUAGUCGGAGGUGUGUCUCGGACGGUCGGUUCGCCGCUUGUCGGUGCUCAACUGGCCGGUCCGGACGUCCUGCCGGUGGGGCCGCGAGGCCCCGUUAUCCUUCUUUGGUCCUCUUCACCGAGUGCCUUGGUGGGCCGGCACGUUUACUUUGAACAAAUUAGAGUGCUCAAAGCAGGCCGUUGGUCGCCUGAAUACUGUGUGCAUGGAAUAAUGGAAUAGGACCUCGGUUCCAUUUUGUUGGUUUUCAGAACUCGAGGUAAUGAUUAAUAGGGACGGACGGGGGCAUUCGUAUUGCGACGUUAGAGGUGAAAUUCUUGGAUCGUCGCAAGACGAACCGAUGCGAAAGCAUUUGCCAAGAACGUUUUCGUUGAUCAAGAACGAAAGUUAGAGGUUCGAAGGCGAUCAGAUACCGCCCUAGUUCUAACCAUAAACGAUGCCAGCUAGCCAUCCGCCGAAGUUCCUUCUAUGACUCGGCGGGCAGCUUCCGGGAAACCAAAGCUCUUGGGUUCCGGGG
This 524-nucleotide ribosomal RNA is filed under the name Calopteryx cornelia. Its description in RNAcentral is "SSU rRNA". It matches the Rfam family "Eukaryotic small subunit ribosomal RNA", at positions 620 to 1119 of the family's 1831-position model. The record is from RNAcentral. Lineage: Eukaryota; Metazoa; Arthropoda; Insecta; Odonata; Calopterygidae.